This 465-nucleotide ribosomal RNA is filed under the name uncultured bacterium. Its description in RNAcentral is "bacterial SSU rRNA". It matches the Rfam family "Bacterial small subunit ribosomal RNA", at positions 29 to 506 of the family's 1533-position model. The record is from RNAcentral.
GUUAACGCUGGCGGUAUGUAUAAUACAUGCAAGUCGAACGCCCUGCACUUUGUUUAUAAUCAAUAUGAUUACCGAUAAAGUGCAGGGAGUGGCGAACUGGUGAGUAACACGUUGGAAUCUUCUCCAGACUCAGGGAUACCACCUAGAAAUAGGUGUUAAUACCGGAUGGUCCCGAAAGGGUAAAGAUUUAUCGGUCUGGAAAGAGCCUGCGGCCUAUCAGCUUGUUGGUGAGGUAACGGCCCACCAAGGCGAUGACGGGUAGCUGGUCUGAGAGGACGACCAGUCACAAUGGGACUGAGACACGGCCCAUACUCCUACGGGAGGCAGCAGUAAAGAAUAUUCCGCAAUGGACGAAAGUCUGACGGAGCAAUACCGCGUGAGCGAUGAAGGUCGUAAGAUUGUAAAGCUCUUUUCUGAGGGAAGAAUUCUGACGGUACCUCAGGAAUAAGCACCGGCUAACUCCGU